RNAcentral lists this ribosomal RNA (440 nucleotides) under uncultured bacterium. RNAcentral describes it as "bacterial SSU rRNA". It matches the Rfam family "Bacterial small subunit ribosomal RNA", at positions 29 to 485 of the family's 1533-position model. The record is from RNAcentral.
ACGAACGCUGGCGGCGUGCUUAACACAUGCAAGUCGAGCGGUAAGGCCUUUCGGGGUACACGAGCGGCGAACGGGUGAGUAACACGUGAGCAACCUGCCCCUGACUCUGGGAUAAGCGCUGGAAACGGCGUCUAAUACUGGAUACGAGACGUGAUCGCAUGGUCAACGUUUGGAAAGAUUUUUCGGUUGGGGAUGGGCUCGCGGCCUAUCAGCUUGUUGGUGAGGUAAUGGCUCAUCAAGGCGUCGACGGGUAGCCGGCCUGGGAGGGUGACCGGCCACCCUGGGACUGAGACACGGCCCAGACUCCUACGGGAGGCAGCAGUGGGGAAUAUUGCACAAUGGGCGCAAGCCUGAUGCAGCAACGCCGCGUGCGGGAUGACGGCCUUCGGGUUGUAAACCUCUUUUAGCAGGGAAGAAGCGAGAGUGACGGUACCUGCAGA